GUACUCACUUCAGCAACACAUAUACUAAAAUUGGAAUGAUACAAAGAAGAUUAGCAUGGCCCCUACACAAGGAUGACACACAAAUUCAUGAAGCAUUCCAUAUUUUU
This 107-nucleotide small nuclear RNA is filed under the name Urocitellus parryii (Arctic ground squirrel). The record is from RNAcentral. Lineage: Eukaryota; Metazoa; Chordata; Mammalia; Rodentia; Sciuridae.